RNAcentral lists this ribosomal RNA (253 nucleotides) under uncultured bacterium. Its description in RNAcentral is "partial 16S ribosomal RNA". It matches the Rfam family "Bacterial small subunit ribosomal RNA", at positions 524 to 776 of the family's 1533-position model. The record is from RNAcentral.
CACGGGGGGAGCAAGCGUUGUUCGGAAUCACUGGGCGUAAAGGGCGUCUAGGCGGUCAGAUAAGUGGGAUGUGAAAUGCCCCGGCUCACCCGGGGACCGGCAUCCCAAACUGUCUGGCUUGAGUAUGGGAGAGGAUGUGGGAAUUCCUGGUGUAGCGGUGAAAUGCGCAGAUAUCAGGAGGAGCACCGGUGGCGAAGGCGGGUCUCUGGGCAACAACUGACGCUGAGGAGCGAAAGCGUGGGGAGCGAACAGG